CAUAGGUUAAUGAGGCGAACCGGGGGAACUGAAACAUCUAAGUACCCCGAGGAAAAGAAAUCAACCGAGAUUCCCCCAGUAGCGGCGAGCGAACGGGGAGCAGCCCAGAGCCUGAAUCAGUGUGUGUGUUAGUGGAAGCGUCUGGAAAGGCGCGCGAUACAGGGUGACAGCCCCGUACACAAAAAUGCACAUGCUGUGAGCUCGAUGAGUAGGGCGGGACACGUGGUAUCCUGUCUGAAUAUGGGGGGACCAUCCUCCAAGGCUAAAUACUCCUGACUGACCGAUAGUGAACCAGUACCGUGAGGGAAAGGCGAAAAGAACCCCGGCGAGGGGAGUGAAAAAGAACCUGAAACCGUGUACGUACAAGCAGUGGGAGCACGCUUAGGCGUGUGACUGCGUACCUUUUGUAUAAUGGGUCAGCGACUUAUAUUCUGUAGCAAGGUUAACCGAAUAGGGGAGCCGAAGGGAAACCGAGUCUUAACUGGGCGUUAAGUUGCAGGGUAUAGACCCGAAACCCGGUGAUCUAGCCAUGGGCAGGUUGAAGGUUGGGUAACACUAACUGGAGGACCGAACCGACUAAUGUUGAAAAAUUAGCGGAUGACUUGUGGCUGGGGGUGAAAGGCCAAUCAAACCGGGAGAUAGCUGGUUCUCCCCGAAAGCUAUUUAGGUAGCGCCUCGUGAAUUCAUCUCCGGGGGUAGAGCACUGUUUCGGCAAGGGGGUCAUCCCGACUUACCAACCCGAUGCAAACUGCGAAUACCGGAGAAUGUUAUCACGGGAGACACACGGCGGGUGCUAACGUCCGUCGUGAAGAGGGAAACAACCCAGACCGCCAGCUAAGGUCCCAAAGUCAUGGUUAAGUGGGAAACGAUGUGGGAAGGCCCAGACAGCCAGGAUGUUGGCUUAGAAGCAGCCAUCAUUUAAAGAAAGCGUAAUAGCUCACUGGUCGAGUCGGCCUGCGCGGAAGAUGUAACGGGGCUAAACCAUGCACCGAAGCUGCGGCAGCGACGCUGAUGCGUUGUUGGGUAGGGGAGCGUUCUGUAAGCCUGCGAAGGUGUGCUGUGAGGCAUGCUGGAGGUAUCAGAAGUGCGAAUGCUGACAUAAGUAACGAUAAAGCGGGUGAAAAGCCCGCUCGCCGGAAGACCAAGGGUUCCUGUCCAACGUUAAUCGGGGCAGGGUGAGUCGACCCCUAAGGCGAGGCCGAAAGGCGUAGUCGAUGGGAAACAGGUUAAUAUUCCUGUACUUGGUGUUACUGCGAAGGGGGGACGGAGAAGGCUAUGUUGGCCGGGCGACGGUUGUCCCGGUUUAAGCGUGUAGGCUGGUUUUCCAGGCAAAUCCGGAAAAUCAAGGCUGAGGCGUGAUGACGAGGCACUACGGUGCUGAAGCAACAAAUGCCCUGCUUCC
Molecule: ribosomal RNA, 1402 nt
Filed under: Escherichia coli
Lineage: Bacteria; Pseudomonadati; Pseudomonadota; Gammaproteobacteria; Enterobacterales; Enterobacteriaceae
Description: partial 23S ribosomal RNA
Rfam family: Bacterial large subunit ribosomal RNA
Source: RNAcentral